GGGCCCGCACAAGCGGUGGAGUAUGUGGUUUAAUUCGAUGCAACGCGAAGAACCUUACCAGGGCUUAAAUGUAGUGGGACAGGUCUAGAGAUAGACCCUUCUUCGGACUCAUUACAAGGUGCUGCAUGGUUGUCGUCAGCUCGUGCCGUGAGGUGUCAGGUUAAGUCCUAUAACGAGCGCAACCCCUAUCGUUAGUUGCCAGCGGGUAAUGCCGGGAACUCUAGCGAAACUGCCGGUGCAAACCGUGAGGAAGGUGGGGAUGACGUCAAAUCAUCACGGCCCUUACGUCCUGGGCUACACACGUGCUACAAUGGUCGGUACAGAGAGCAGCCACUACGCGAGUAGGAGCGAAUCUUCAAAACCGAUCUCAGUUCGGAUCGCAGUCUGCAACUCGACUGCGUGAAGCUGGAAUCGCUAGUAAUCG
This 424-nucleotide ribosomal RNA is filed under the name uncultured bacterium. RNAcentral's name for it is "bacterial SSU rRNA". It matches the Rfam family "Bacterial small subunit ribosomal RNA", at positions 917 to 1344 of the family's 1533-position model. The record is from RNAcentral.